UACGUAGGGAGCAAGCGUUGUCCGGAAUCAUUGGGCGUAAAGCGCGCGUAGGUGGCCUCAUAAGUCCGCUGUGAAAGUCAAAGGCUCAACCUUUGAAAGCCGGUGGAUACUGUGAGGCUAGAGUACGGAAGAGGCGAGUGGAAUUCCUGGUGUAGCGGUGGAAUGCGCAGAUAUCAGGAGGAACACCGGUGGCGAAGGCGGGUCUCUGGGCCGAUACUGACGCUGAGGUGCGAAAGCGUGGGGAGCAAACAGG
This 253-nucleotide ribosomal RNA is filed under the name uncultured bacterium. RNAcentral's name for it is "partial 16S ribosomal RNA". It matches the Rfam family "Bacterial small subunit ribosomal RNA", at positions 524 to 776 of the family's 1533-position model. The record is from RNAcentral.